UGAGCAAUCUGCCCUUCUCUUUGGAAUAAGCGUUGGAAACGACGUCUAAUGCCGAAUACGACCUCCUUUCGCAUGAUCGGAGGUGGAAAGCUCCGGCGGAGAAGGAUGAGCUCGCGGCCUAUCAGCUUGUUGGCGGGGUAAUGGCCCACAAGGCAACGGACGGGUAGCCGGCCUGAGAGGGUGACCGGCCACACGUGGGACUGGAGACACGGCCCAGACCUCCGUACGGGAGCAGCAGG
RNAcentral lists this ribosomal RNA (239 nucleotides) under uncultured bacterium. RNAcentral's name for it is "partial 16S ribosomal RNA". It matches the Rfam family "Bacterial small subunit ribosomal RNA", at positions 118 to 354 of the family's 1533-position model. The record is from RNAcentral.